GUAGGUGAACCUGCGGAAGGAUCAUUAUCGUAGGGCUUCGGCCCUGUCGAGAUAGAACCCUUGCCUUUUUGAGUACCUUUCGUUUCCUCGGCAGGCUCGCCUGCCAAUGGGGACCACAAAAAAACACUUUGCAGUACCUGUAAUAGUCUGAACAAACAAACAAAAAUCAAAACUUUCAACAACGGAUCUCUUGGUUCUG
Molecule: unclassified non-coding RNA, 199 nt
Filed under: rhizosphere metagenome
Description: partial ribosomal RNA internal transcribed spacer region
Source: RNAcentral